RNAcentral lists this ribosomal RNA (487 nucleotides) under Klebsiella variicola subsp. variicola. RNAcentral describes it as "partial 23S ribosomal RNA". It matches the Rfam family "Bacterial large subunit ribosomal RNA", at positions 2263 to 2749 of the family's 2925-position model. The record is from RNAcentral. Lineage: Bacteria; Pseudomonadati; Pseudomonadota; Gammaproteobacteria; Enterobacterales; Enterobacteriaceae.
GGGUAGUUUGACUGGGGCGGUCUCCUCCCAAAGAGUAACGGAGGAGCACGAAGGUUAGCUAAUCCUGGUCGGACAUCAGGAGGUUAGUGCAAUGGCAUAAGCUAGCUUGACUGCGAGCGUGACGGCGCGAGCAGGUGCGAAAGCAGGUCAUAGUGAUCCGGUGGUUCUGAAUGGAAGGGCCAUCGCUCAACGGAUAAAAGGUACUCCGGGGAUAACAGGCUGAUACCGCCCAAGAGUUCAUAUCGACGGCGGUGUUUGGCACCUCGAUGUCGGCUCAUCACAUCCUGGGGCUGAAGUAGGUCCCAAGGGUAUGGCUGUUCGCCAUUUAAAGUGGUACGCGAGCUGGGUUUAGAACGUCGUGAGACAGUUCGGUCCCUAUCUGCCGUGGGCGCUGGAGAAUUGAGGGGGGCUGCUCCUAGUACGAGAGGACCGGAGUGGACGCAUCACUGGUGUUCGGGUUGUCAUGCCAAUGGCACUGCCCGGUAGC